CGGACGGGUGAGUAAUGUCUGGGAAACUGCCUGAUGGAGGGGAUAACUACUGGAAACGGUAGCUAAUACCGCAUAACGUCGCAAGACCAAAGAGGGGGACCUUCGGGCCUCUUGCCAUCGGAUGUGCCCAGAUGGGAUUAGCUAGUAGGUGGGUAAAGGCUCACCUAGGCGACGAUCCCUAGCUGGUCUGAGAGGAUGAUCAGCCACACUGGGACUGAGACACGGCCCAG
This 230-nucleotide ribosomal RNA is filed under the name uncultured bacterium. RNAcentral describes it as "partial 16S ribosomal RNA". It matches the Rfam family "Bacterial small subunit ribosomal RNA", at positions 99 to 334 of the family's 1533-position model. The record is from RNAcentral.